ACCAUCGAUGCCCACUUCGUCGCGUCCAAUCGGCAGCUCAACAAGGGAUGGAUAUUCAAGGAGGAGAAGUACAUCCGGCGGAUUGAAUGCUCCGUGCUUCGGGGGACCGACCUGCUAGUGCUUAGGAGCAUAUGCCUUUGCUCCAUGAGGUCCGGGCACUACAAACAAGUCGUGGUUGUCAAGGUGGAUGUCUCAGCUGCUGUUGUACAGGCGCACUGCGACUGUGUUGCUGGGUUGAGCCAAAGAUGUCAGCAUGUAGCCGGCCUCCUUUUUGCAGUCCGGAGUAUCCAAUCUCCGUCGUGCACCGAUAUGCCAUGCAGAUGGAUAGCACCGACACAAGGACAGAACAAUCUACCAAUGCAGCCACUGCAGGACAUCACAUUUAAAAAGCACGUCGUCAACAAGGUGGUACCAGCAAAACCAAAGCGCCAGCUGCCAGCCACCAUC
Molecule: long non-coding RNA, 447 nt
Organism: Ornithodoros turicata
Lineage: Eukaryota; Metazoa; Arthropoda; Arachnida; Ixodida; Argasidae
Exons: 3
Source: RefSeq, a predicted model, not a curated record